UUAAAGGGCACCACAAGAACGCGGGGAGCAUGUGGUUUAAUUUGACUCAACGCGGGGAUCUUACUAGGUCCGGACCGAUUCUAUGAUCGUCGUACUGUGGGGUGCUACGUGAUUACUGGAUGAGUGGUGCAUGGCCGUUCUUAGUUCGUGGUGUUAAUUGUCUACUUAAUUGUCCAUAGUUCCCGUACCAUCGAGAACUAAUAACGAACGAGAUCGAGACCCGUGGUUGCGUAUGUUUGAAUUCGGUAUUACUACGGGGAUCGCGUAUCACUCCACGGUACGAUCGAAAGACUCGGCAAUAACAGGUCUGUGAUGCCCUCAGAUGUUCUAGGCUGCACACGUGCUACAGUGUGGCGCUGUACUGUGUGUAUGCGUAGAUAUCUGAUAAGAUCCCCCGCACCGAGUCAUAAUCGGUCACACGGUGGACUCACCCGAUUGUCAAUUAUUCGGUAUACUAACUAGGAAUGCCUCGUACGGGG
RNAcentral lists this ribosomal RNA (479 nucleotides) under Amphistegina lobifera. RNAcentral's name for it is "SSU rRNA". It matches the Rfam family "Eukaryotic small subunit ribosomal RNA", at positions 1160 to 1624 of the family's 1831-position model. Lineage: Eukaryota; Foraminifera; Rotaliida; Amphisteginidae. The record is from RNAcentral.